GAUGAACGCUAGCGAUAGGCUUAACACAUGCAAGUCGAGGGGCAGCACAAGGUAGCUUGCUAUCUGGGUGGCGACCGGCGCACGGGUGCGUAACGCGUAUGCAACUUGCCCUAUACAGGAGGAUAACCCGUCGAAAGACGGACUAAUACUGCGUAUGCUCACAACUUGGCAUCAAGUGGUGAGGAAAGAAAUUCGGUAUAGGAUAGGCAUGCGUCCCAUUAGCUUGUUGGUGAGGUAACGGCUCACCAAGGCAACGAUGGGUAGGGGAACUGAGAGGUUUAUCCCCCACACUGGUACUGAGACACGGACCAGACUCCUACGGGAGGCAGCAGUGAGGAAUAUUGGUCAAUGGGCGCGAGCCUGAACCAGCCAAGUCGCGUGAAGGAUGGCUGUCUUAUGGAUGGUAAACUUCUUUUAUACGGGAAUAACAAGAGUCACGGGUGACUCCCUGCAUGUACCGUAUGAAUAAGCAUCGGCUAACUCCGUG
RNAcentral lists this ribosomal RNA (487 nucleotides) under uncultured bacterium. Its description in RNAcentral is "partial 16S ribosomal RNA". It matches the Rfam family "Bacterial small subunit ribosomal RNA", at positions 28 to 507 of the family's 1533-position model. The record is from RNAcentral.